Molecule: ribosomal RNA, 566 nt
Filed under: uncultured soil bacterium
Lineage: Bacteria
Description: bacterial SSU rRNA
Rfam family: Bacterial small subunit ribosomal RNA
Source: RNAcentral
GUGCCUAAUACAUGCAAGUCGAGCGAGAAAACCGGGGCAACUCGGUGAGUACAGCGGCGGAAGGGUGCGUAAUACAUGGUUAACGUACCCCCCAGUUCGGGAUAACCCUCCGAAAGGUGGGCUAAUACCGGGUAAUGGCAGCGGGUGGCAUCAUUUGCUGCUUAAAGUCGUAAGACGCUGGGGGAGCGGACCAUGGCCUAUCAGCUAGUUGGCGGGGUAACGGCCCACCAAGGCGAUGACGGGUAGCCGGACUGAGAGGUUGAACGGCCACACGGGAACUGAGACACGGUCCCGACAUCUACGGAUGGCAGCAGUAGGGAAUCUUGCACAAUGGGCGAAAGCCUGAUGCAGCGACACCGCGUGGGGGAUGAAGGCCUUCGGGUUGUAAACCCCUUUCAUGAGGGAAGAAUACUGACCUAACCUCAGGAAGAAGCACCGGCUAACUCCGUGCCAGCAGCUGCGGUAAUACGGAGAGUGCAAACGUUGUUCGGAUUCACUGGGCGUAAAGGGCACGUAGGCGGCUCGGCAAAUCGGUCGUGGAAUCUCGACGCUUACCGUCGAAACGG